RNAcentral lists this ribosomal RNA (255 nucleotides) under uncultured bacterium. RNAcentral's name for it is "partial 16S ribosomal RNA". The record is from RNAcentral.
CUGCUGCCUCCCGUAGGAGUUUGGGCCGUGUCUCAGUCCCAAUGUGGCCGUCCACCCUCUCAGGCCGGCUACUGAUCGUUGCCUUGGUGAGCCGUUACCUCUCCAACUAGCUAAUCAGACGCGGGUCCAUCUCAUACCACCUCAGUUUUUCACACCAAACCAUGCGGUUUUGUGCGCUUAUGCGGUAUUAGCAGUCAUUUCUAACUGUUAUCCCCCUGUAUGAGGCAGGUUACCCACGCGUUACUCACCCGUCCG